Molecule: ribosomal RNA, 428 nt
Filed under: uncultured eukaryote
Lineage: Eukaryota
Description: bacterial SSU rRNA
Rfam family: Eukaryotic small subunit ribosomal RNA
Source: RNAcentral
CAAUAGCGUAUACUAAAGUUGUUGCAGUUAAAAAGCUCGUAGUCGAAUGAAGGUUCUUUUGUUACGUGAACUCGUAGGUGUAACUUAUGUAGUUUGUGUACAAAGACCUCCCUCGUAUGAAACGAUUUUUCUGAUUUUCAGGAAGAUACGGUCAUACGCAUUACUGUGAACAAAAUAGAGUGUUCAUGGCAGGCCAAUUAGGCUUGAAUACCUCAGCAUGGAAUAAUAGAAUAGGACUUCCGGUUCUAUUUUGUUGGUUUUUGGAGCCGAAGUAAUGAUUAAUAGGGGCAGUCAGGGGCACUCGUAUUCCGUCGAGAGAGGUGAAAUUCUCAGACCAAUGGAAGACGAACCACUGCGAAAGCAUUUGCCAGGGAUGUUUUCACUGAUCAAGAACGAAAGUUAGGGGAUCGAAGACGAUCAGAUACCGU